RNAcentral lists this ribosomal RNA (374 nucleotides) under uncultured bacterium. Its description in RNAcentral is "bacterial SSU rRNA". It matches the Rfam family "Bacterial small subunit ribosomal RNA", at positions 521 to 896 of the family's 1533-position model. The record is from RNAcentral.
UAAUACGUAGGGAGCAAGCGUUGUCCGGAUUCACUGGGUGUAAAGGGUGCGCAGGCGGAUUUGUAAGUCAGAGGUGAAAUCUCACGGCUUAACCGUGAAACUGCCUUUGAUACUGCAGAUCUUGAGUUUGGGAGAGGUUGAUGGAAUUCCAGGUGUAGCGGUGAAAUGCGUAGAUAUCUGGAAGAACACCAGUGGCGAAGGCGGUCAACUGGCCCAUAACUGACGCUCAGGCACGAAAGCGUGGGGAGCAAACAGGAUUAGAUACCCUGGUAGUCCACGCCUUAAACGAUGAAUACUUGGUGUUGGUUCUUAAUGAAUCAGUGCCGGAGGUAACCUGGUAAGUAUUCCACCUGGGGAGUACGCUCGCAAGGGUG